UACGUAGGGUGCGAGCGUUGUCCGGAAUUAUUGGGCGUAAAGAGCUUGUAGGUGGUUUGUCGCGUCUGCUGUGAAAAUCCGAGGCUCAACCUCGGACUUGCAGUGGGUACGGGCAGACUAGAGUGUGGUAGGGGAGACUGGAAUUCCUGGUGUAGCGGCGGAAUGCGCAGAUAUCAGGAGGAACACCGAUGGCGAAGGCAGGUCUCUGGGCCAUUACUGACACUGAGAAGCGAAAGCAUGGGGAGCGAACAGG
Molecule: ribosomal RNA, 253 nt
Filed under: uncultured bacterium
Lineage: Bacteria
Description: partial 16S ribosomal RNA
Rfam family: Bacterial small subunit ribosomal RNA
Source: RNAcentral